Molecule: non-coding RNA, 73 nt
Organism: Arthrobacter sp. Soil782
Lineage: Bacteria; Bacillati; Actinomycetota; Actinomycetes; Micrococcales; Micrococcaceae
Source: Rfam
CGCGGUCCUCGGUAGUGGUCUCCGGGAAACCAUCGUGUGAUGGAUUUCCCGUGGACCUCGAUCGAAGACCGGG